CCCUUAGAUGUUCUGGGCUGCACGCGCGCUACACUGACACGAUCAGCAAGUUUGUCCUUGCCCGGUGGGGCUGGGUAACCUUUUGAAAUCGUGUCGUGAUGGGGAUAGAUUAUUGCAAUUAUUAAUCUUCAACGAGGAAUUCCUAGUAAGUGCAAGUCAUCAGCUUGCGCUGAUUACGUCCCUGCCCUUUGUACACACCGCGCGUCGCUCCUACCGAUUGGGUGAUCCGGUGAAUAAUUCGGACUGCGACAUGUCAGCUGACAUAUUGCGGGAAGUCUAGUGAACCCUAUCACCUAGAGGAAGGAGAAGUCGUAACA
This 317-nucleotide ribosomal RNA is filed under the name uncultured eukaryote. Its description in RNAcentral is "partial 18S ribosomal RNA". It matches the Rfam family "Eukaryotic small subunit ribosomal RNA", at positions 1470 to 1796 of the family's 1831-position model. The record is from RNAcentral.